Molecule: transfer RNA, 93 nt
Filed under: Candidatus Dormiibacterota bacterium
Lineage: Bacteria; Bacillati; Candidatus Dormiibacterota
Also listed under: 2 other names
Description: candidate division AD3 bacterium tRNA-Ser
Rfam family: tRNA
About the family: Transfer RNA (tRNA) molecules are approximately 80 nucleotides in length. Their secondary structure includes four short double-helical elements and three loops (D, anti-codon, and T loops). Further hydrogen bonds mediate the characteristic L-shaped molecular structure. tRNAs have two regions of fundamental functional importance: the anti-codon, which is responsible for specific mRNA codon recognition, and the 3' end, to which the tRNAs corresponding amino acid is attached (by aminoacyl-tRNA synthetases). tRNAs cope with the degeneracy of the genetic code in two manners: having more than one tRNA (with a specific anti-codon) for a particular amino acid; and 'wobble' base-pairing, i.e. permitting non-standard base-pairing at the 3rd anti-codon position.
Source: RNAcentral
GGAAGGGUGGCUGAGUGGUCGAAAGCGCCCGCCUGCUAAGCGGGUAGGUGGUCUGAAACUGCCUCCCGGGUUCGAAUCCCGGCCCUUCCGCCA